This 253-nucleotide ribosomal RNA is filed under the name uncultured bacterium. RNAcentral's name for it is "partial 16S ribosomal RNA". It matches the Rfam family "Bacterial small subunit ribosomal RNA", at positions 524 to 776 of the family's 1533-position model. The record is from RNAcentral.
UACGAGGGGUGCAAGCGUUGUUCGGAAUUACUGGGCGUAAAGCGCGUGUAGGCGGUCAAGCGGGUCGGAUGUGAAAGCCCUCGGCUUAACCGAGGAAGUGCGUCCGAAACUACUUGGCUUGAGUGUGGGAGAGGAGGAUGGAAUUCCCAGUGUAGAGGUGAAAUUCGUAGAUAUUGGGAGGAACACCGGUGGCGAAAGCGGUUCUCUAGACCACAACUGACGCUGAGACGCGAAAGCGUGGGGAGCAAACAGG